This 415-nucleotide RNase P RNA is filed under the name Chloroflexi bacterium RBG_13_66_10. RNAcentral's name for it is "RNase P RNA component class A". It matches the Rfam family "Bacterial RNase P class A". Rfam says of the family: Ribonuclease P (RNase P) is a ubiquitous endoribonuclease, found in archaea, bacteria and eukarya as well as chloroplasts and mitochondria. Its best characterised activity is the generation of mature 5'-ends of tRNAs by cleaving the 5'-leader elements of precursor-tRNAs. Cellular RNase Ps are ribonucleoproteins. The record is from RNAcentral. Lineage: Bacteria; Bacillati; Chloroflexota.
AAGGCCGGCCGGGCAAUCGCGGGCGGCGCGAGCCGUCCGAGGAAAGUCCGCGCUCCUAAGAGCACGGUGCCGGGCAACACCCGGGCGGGGAAAGCCCGCGAAAAGGGCCACAGAAAACGACCGCCCCAGCUCCAUCUGGGGUCAGGGUGAAAAGGUGGUGUAAGAGACCACCGGCGCCGGCAGCAAUGCGGGCGGCCAGGCAUCCUCCACCGGGAGCAAGGCCAAGCAGGGGCAAAGCCCGGCGACGGGCGGGAGACGGCUCGUCUCCCUCGAGCCCCGGGUAGGCUGCUCGAGCCCCGUGGUGACGCGUGGGCCCAGAGAGAUGAUUGCCCAGGCGCCGGGGGGCGGGAUGAAGGGCAACCGUAAACCGUCCCUCGGCGCCGGACAAAACGCGGCUUAUAGGCCGGCCGCAGCC